Molecule: ribosomal RNA, 441 nt
Filed under: Lutjanus campechanus (northern red snapper)
Lineage: Eukaryota; Metazoa; Chordata; Actinopteri; Lutjaniformes; Lutjanidae
Description: partial 12S ribosomal RNA
Rfam family: Bacterial small subunit ribosomal RNA
Source: RNAcentral
UAAAGGUUUGGUCCUGACUUUACUAUCAACUUUAGCUAAACUUACACAUGCAAGUAUCCGCACCCCUGUGAGAAUGCCCUACAGUUCCCUGCUCGGGAACAAGGAGCCGGUAUCAGGCACACCCCAAAUACAAGCCCAUGACACCUUGCUUAGCCACACCCCCAAGGGAACUCAGCAGUGAUAAACAUUAAGCCAUAAGUGAAAACUUGACUUAGUUAAAGCUAAGAGGGCCGGUAAAACUCGUGCCAGCCACCGCGGUUAUACGAGAGACCCAAGUUGUUAGACACCGGCGUAAAGAGUGGUUAAGAUACCCCCCCCAACUAAAGCCGAACGCCCUCAGAGCUGUUAUACGCAUCCGAAGGUAAGAAGCCCGACCACGAAAGUGGCUUUAUAUUGUCCGAGCCCACGAAAGCUAUGACACAAACUAGGAUUAGAUACCCU